UGGUGGGUAGUUUGACUGGGGCGGUCUCCUCCUAAAGAGUAACGGAGGAGCACGAAGGUUGGCUAAUCCUGGUCGGACAUCAGGAGGUUAGUGCAAUGGCAUAAGCCAGCUUGACUGCGAGCGUGACGGCGCGAGCAGGUGCGAAAGCAGGUCAUAGUGAUCCGGUGGUUCUGAAUGGAAGGGCCAUCGCUCAACGGAUAAAAGGUACUCCGGGGAUAACAGGCUGAUACCGCCCAAGAGUUCAUAUCGACGGCGGUGUUUGGCACCUCGAUGUCGGCUCAUCACAUCCUGGGGCUGAAGUAGGUCCCAAGGGUAUGGCUGUUCGCCAUUUAAAGUGGUACGCGAGCUGGGUUUAGAACGUCGUGAGACAGUUCGGUCCCUAUCUGCCGUGGGCGCUGGAGAACUGAGGGGGGCUGCUCCUAGUACGAGAGGACCGGAGUGGACGCAUCACUGGUGUUCGGGUUGUCAUGCCAAUGGCACUGCCCGGUAGCUAAAUGCGGAAGAGAUAAGUGCUGAAAGCAUCUAAGCACGAAACUUGCCCCGAGAUGAGUUCUCCCUGAGACUUAGAGUCUCCUGAAGGAACGUUGAAGACGACGACGUUGAUAGGCCGGGUGUGUAAGCGCAGCGAUGCGUUGAGCUAACCGGUACUAAUGAA
This 655-nucleotide ribosomal RNA is filed under the name Salmonella enterica subsp. enterica serovar Infantis. Its description in RNAcentral is "partial 23S ribosomal RNA". It matches the Rfam family "Bacterial large subunit ribosomal RNA", at positions 2259 to 2908 of the family's 2925-position model. The record is from RNAcentral. Lineage: Bacteria; Pseudomonadati; Pseudomonadota; Gammaproteobacteria; Enterobacterales; Enterobacteriaceae. RNAcentral also lists the same sequence under 3 other names.